GAAGCUGACCAGACAGUCGCCGCUUUGUCGUCGUCCCUCUUGUAGGGAGACGGGCAGAGGGGAGGAAAGUCCGGGCUCCAUAGGGCAAGGUGCCAGGUAACGCCUGGGGGGCGCAAGCCUACGACCAGUGCAACAGAGAGCAAACCGCCGAUGGCCCAUUUAUGGGAUCAGGUAAGGGUGAAAGGGUGCGGUAAGAGCGCACCG
Molecule: RNase P RNA, 204 nt
Filed under: Pantoea sp.
Lineage: Bacteria; Pseudomonadati; Pseudomonadota; Gammaproteobacteria; Enterobacterales; Erwiniaceae
Description: partial RNase P RNA component class A
Rfam family: Bacterial RNase P class A
About the family: Ribonuclease P (RNase P) is a ubiquitous endoribonuclease, found in archaea, bacteria and eukarya as well as chloroplasts and mitochondria. Its best characterised activity is the generation of mature 5'-ends of tRNAs by cleaving the 5'-leader elements of precursor-tRNAs.
Source: RNAcentral